Long non-coding RNA from Megalobrama amblycephala (Wuchang bream), 307 nucleotides. RefSeq lists it as uncharacterized. NCBI's taxonomy places the organism in Eukaryota, Metazoa, Chordata, Actinopteri, Cypriniformes, Xenocyprididae. The record is from RefSeq and is a predicted model, not a curated record. The transcript is spliced from 3 exons.
CCCCCACAGCGCUCCAUGUGUUCAGUUUUAUUUGAUGUAAAGAGCUGCAUUUCAACUCACUGUGUGUUACAGUGACUGUGACUCUCGCGUGCACAGGUGUGUCAGUUCUCACCUGAACCAGACAGCUCAGAGCAGCAUUCAGCCCAGGUCCCAACUGACAGAGAACAGAGCAUUGGGAUAAUGCAGGUGUGGACCUGUCACUCAAACAAAAAAGCAGCCGAUGGCAUUCAAUGCCAGGGACCAAGAGUUGGAACCAGACAACCUUGCUCGGAAACCUUUAGCUAAAUUUGCUAUUUUUGUAUGAAGC